AUACCGCCCUCACCUCCCUGCUUCUUCCUCGCCACGUCCACCGCGAGAAGGCGCGGAACCGCUUGCCAAGUCGCCCGCACACAUCCCUAUCGAUACACGUACGCCAGACAAUCACGGCACGCACGAGAAGCGGACCCCCUAACGUGAGGUCGCACACGCGCGCUCGCGACGACGGCGAACCUGCUCCCUUUUCUGUGGAGCUGAGAGAGCCGAGACGGCUGCUUCUCUCUCUCCCCGCUGUCCGCGGCUCUCAGGUCGAGCCGCGCCACUCUCUCGAAGCGCACACGCGCACACACCACCACAAAAUAGAUCGAUAAUUGUAUAGAUCGUCGACCCCACGAGUGGAGAACGGACCGUCUCACUCUUUGUUUAUACUUGUUCUUGUGCCGACGUUUUUUUUAUCGGUGUUCAGGCCACAUGCAGCCGGCCACGGAACGACGUCUUCUCGUAUACCAGUGCGGGGCUCGCUCCGUGGUGAAUGUGCGUGAUACCCGGAGAUGCUCCCGCCGUUCACCUUCCCGCGUACCUCCAUCCGAGUCGCCGGCACCGUUUCAAGGGAGCCGGCCGCGCGAAGCGGCAGGUAUCGUGGGCAGCACCACCACCGAUGCCGAUGAGCGGAGCGCGCUGGGGUCGCCGUGGAGCUCACUCACCGUGAACACGGUAACGGUGCCGGAGGGUGAGUGGUGCGGUGACGCGACGCUGUUCCACACGGCUCUCUCACCUUCGCCUCGAGUGCCUCCGCCUCCGCCGCGUGCUGGAUGUGCGGAUCAUGAUGUCGGCGAUGCAUCCGGCAUGCCGAAAAACGCUGGCGGUCAGGCACUGUCGAGGCAAAGCGCCCACCACAGUCUGCAAGGGGUGAGCCCGAGCCCGUUUGCAGAUGACCUAAACAGCCACGGCGACUCGGCCGCAGUUCCAGACAGUGACUACCACUCGUCAUGGUUUGCAGAGUGGCCACCGGCUGCCGCGGCGGCGUCCUCAAGUCCUGCGCUGUUGUUGUGUAACCAUGGAGGUGCCGAGGCAUUGGUGCUCUGUGCGGCAGCUAGUGGCGUACCUCGCCAGUGGACGUCCGGCGCUGCGGUGGGCAAUCAGGAGGCUAUGCACGCGGUCACUCAGCCGCCGCUAAAGCUGGCAAGCACUUUCCAGGCAGGCGAAGUGGACGCUGUGUGUUGCACGGACGCACCCCAACGCGCAAGUGAAGAGCGCCGUGGCGCCGUUUCGGCGCUGCAUGCGUGUAGCAGAGCAAGGCCGCCGCCGCACGUGUUCACGUCCAACACCGGUAGCGGGGUCACCCCCGUUGCUGCCGCGGGUGCGGAGCGCGUGCUCUUCGACGACGACGACGACUUUACGGACAUAUCCACUGCCUCGGCCCGCUGCCGCACCCUUCAGCCUGGGCCGGAGGCAGCGCCUGCCGCACACUGCGCGGCAGUGGAUGCAGUGGCGCACACGCCUCCUCGUCAUCGCGACAUACGAGCGAGUCCUCUGCUCGCUCCUAAUCGCGGCGGCACCGGUGGAUGUGAGAGCACCGACUGCAGCUCCAGUGGGCACUUUGCCGUUCACUACGCCGCAACCUCUGUGUCUUCUUGCGCGACCCCUAACGCGUCUGUGCUCUCUGUGGUGGCCGCUGUGGGUGCCAGCGGGGAGUCGCUUGACGCAGUGGUGCCGAGGGGCUGCGGGCCUGCCAAGGAGGGCCUCACAACGCAGGUCAUUGAGGACAGCGCCGAGAACUCGCCUGCAGCGGCGAAGGCUGCCCAGAUGGAAGGCACGCCGUAUGCCCCCACGACUUCCGCGGGGACGAACGGCAGCCUCUCUGCUUUCAAAACGCCCAUGACCUCACCGCUUCGCCAAGGGCUUUUCCUUCGCCUGCUCAGCACCCACGCCGCCACAGCCACGCACACGCCGACAGCGCGCCCGUGUUCAUCGGGCGUAUUGCCCCCGAAUGCUGGCUCGCUGGCCACUCCCACGCCGCUGCAUCGGGCGCACAGGUGGAGGGGCGGCAACGCAACCCCAGGCUGGGAGAGCCUGGCGGAGAUUACGGGCUUUCCUACGCCGGUGAAACUGUCACCCAUACCCACGAAAGGGUAUUCGGCGUACCCCGAGCUUGUGGCCACCGCCGCCGCUGCGGCAGGAGCGCCCACCCUGACCUCCACGCCUCGUGCGUCCGGCUCGCCGUCCCCUGUAGUGUCUGCAGUGCAGGGCGACGCUCAUGAAUGCGAUGAUGGCAAACUCGACGCGGCGACGCCGGCUGCGAUGGCGAAUGCCUUUGGGGCAGCAGAGGACGCUCGCGCAUCGAGGAGCCAGACGGCCGGGGUAUCUUUCUCUGAAGGUGGCGGUGUGCCGCCGCUCUCCGAUGGCAACAUUGCCGACUACCUGAGCAGCGCCCACAGCAUCAGCACCAUCGGCUCCGAGUGCUCUGUGUCACCGAUUCGCGUGCGGGCCCGCCAGACAACGCGCGUGUGGACGCCGCACCCGAGCGAGGUGUCGCAGCAGCAGCAUCCAACGCCGCCGCCGUCAUCCAUUGAGGACCAAUCUUCGCGCUUCCUCAGCGACUUCCCUUCGAGCGCUGCUGUGCAGCCGCCGCCACCGCAGCGACAGCAACCGAGCGUCUUGCGCGCCUCCCCUAUCUUUGGCGCUGUCCAUGUCUUUCCAUGUGAUCACGCCCUCUCCGCUCACAAAAGCCCACCUCGCACAGCGCUGCAUCCCGAACGAGCCGCUGAAGAGGUGUCCGAGGACUUGACAGCGAUGUCGUUGGUGGUCACGGAGAUGCAGGCGCAGCCAUCGCACCAGCAGCCCCAGAAGCUGUUCCGCCCCGAUGCGGCGACGGGUGACCUUGCACUGUUGCACAGGUCUGCUGAUCACUCUGCAGGUGGGUGGGCCACCCCCCGUUGUGUCGCCGACACGCUGAACCUCGGUACCCCGACAGUGUCCAUGAUUCAGUCACCAGCGCAGGCGCUGGGCGAGAGCUGCUGCUCUCUCUUCAUGCUUCCAGCCACGCAGUACAUUCACACUCUGCCCAUUCGCGGACUUCAGCGGCGGAACCCGCCCGUCGCACACGCCGCGCAGCACGCAGGCCUCGCUGUGGAAGGCGUGGGUGGCGAGAGCGGGCGCAUCGCCUUCGCCAAUGAGGCACGCCACAACCGCAGACGCCAGACGCAGCACCCCGCGUUGAUGUCACCCGCACUCAGCGAUGGUGAGGAGGAAAACUGCACACCGUGCUCCACAGUGGCGUUGUGUUUGGCCAAGCCACCGCCUCCGCGUGUGCAGGCGUCGCCGCUGGUGUCCUUGGAUGCCAGCCAGUCGUUGGAGGCGGAGCAGCCCCUGUUCUCAAAGCCAGAGAAGGCCCAGUGCGAUGCAAGCGUACAGUGGGGAACUUCGUUCACUACGUUCUUGUGGUCUCGCGCAGUCCACCAGGAGCCACGUCGGCUUGAUUGCAGCGCCCGGCGAGCGCCACGGUGUGCCUCGUCGUUCGCGCGCCAGCUGCAGCGGUCUUCGUCCUCAAAGGGUUCCGCCACACCACCACAGGCAUACCAGCGACCGCACCUCGGACUGUCGUCCACCAACGACACGUUGCGCAGCGUGGAGGUGUCGUACGUGCGGUACCGUCCCACUUUCACAGCCACUUCAAACUCCGCCACCCGCUUUAUUGACUCCUGGCUCUGACACGGGUUGGGAGGAGACGGGGGAGAGGCCGAUGAGAUGCGGCCGAAAGAAGGAGCGAUGGUGCGGAGCGCUCUGUCGACAGAAACUCGUGACGUGCGAGUGCGAAAGGGGGUGGGGUGGGCGGGAGUGAAGUAGAGGCUGCGGCUUGUGGCUGUGCACGGACAGCUGUACCCAACGCCGCUCUCCAUACACCACCGCCUCGGCAACGACGCUUUUUUUGUCUCUGCCGUGUUUCUCUCUCUCGAGCUUAUAGAUGCACACCUCUGCCUGUGCUAUGGUAGAGUGGCCUACGCUUCGUCUUUUCGUUUUCUUUUUUUUUCGUUCCGCCCUCUCUUCGGCUCUCUGAGACACGCGAGUCUCGUCAAGGGAUGGGCCUCUUCUUGUGCCGCUGAGCGUAGCUGUAGCGUGCUAGUGUGCAGAUUGGGCAGCAGCAAAGAAGCGAUUAGGCGAAUCCGUGUCUCGCGCACAGCUGCAUUACCUCACAGAUGCGUGGCUAGGCCGUCCGAGGUGGGGCAAAGCCAGAGUCAUGAAAGGACAAUGACGAAGGAAUCGCCGUCGAUGCAUCACGGCCAACGAAGAACACCACACGCAGCAUUCUGCCCAUUCCUGGCCGCGCUGUACCUUUUGUUGUUUUUGGUUUGUUUGUCGCCUUACCGCUUCCGCAGUGCUUGCACAAUCUCCGUUGAACCAAUGCCACUGCGCAGUGGAUCUAAGACGCUAUCGUGACCGUUGGCGUGGCCCUCCGCUGACCCCUUUGCUUUGCUUUUCGGUGUGGUAGUGGUGCCUUGCGGCGAUGCGCAGGCAUGCGCACGCAGCAGCCUUCCUUCAAGCCUCUUUCGUCCACCUCUUUCGUUCAUAUCAGCUUUUUUCGUCCACACGCACGCACGCCCACGCCCUCUCCCCCGCUCUCUCUCCGAUUGCCCUUUUACGCUUUUUUUGCAUGCCCCCCCCUCCUCCCUGCGAG
RNAcentral lists this unclassified non-coding RNA (4621 nucleotides) under Leishmania donovani. RNAcentral describes it as "gene:LdHU3.34.3380(CDS-product:hypothetical_prote in_conserved)". Lineage: Eukaryota; Euglenozoa; Kinetoplastea; Trypanosomatida; Trypanosomatidae. The record is from RNAcentral.